AGUGAACGCUGGCGGUAGGCCUAACACAUGCAAGUCGAACGGCAGCACAGAGGAGCUUGCUCCUUGGGUGGCGAGUGGCGGACGGGUGAGGAAUACAUCGGAAUCUACUCUGUCGUGGGGGAUAACGUAGGGAAACUUACGCUAAUACCGCAUACGACCUACGGGUGAAAUCAGGGGACCUUCGGGCCUUGCGCGAUUGAAUGAGCCGAUGUCGGAUUAGCUAGUUGGCGGGGUAAAGGCCCACCAAGGCGACGAUCCGUAGCUGGUCUGAGAGGAUGAGCAGCCACACUGGAACUGAGGCACGGUCCAGACUCCUACGGGAGGCAGCAGUGGGGAAUAUUGGACAAUGGGCGCAAGCCUGAUCCAGCCAUGCCGCGUGGGUGAAGAAGGCCUUCGGGUUGUAAAGCCCUUUUGUUGGGAAAGAAAUCCAGCUGGCUAAUACCCGGUUGGGAUGACGGUACCCAAAGAAUAAGCACCGGCUAACUUCGUGCCAGCAGCCGCGGUAA
Molecule: ribosomal RNA, 506 nt
Filed under: uncultured bacterium
Lineage: Bacteria
Description: partial 16S ribosomal RNA
Rfam family: Bacterial small subunit ribosomal RNA
Source: RNAcentral